This 825-nucleotide ribosomal RNA is filed under the name uncultured beta proteobacterium. RNAcentral's name for it is "bacterial SSU rRNA". It matches the Rfam family "Bacterial small subunit ribosomal RNA", at positions 94 to 916 of the family's 1533-position model. The record is from RNAcentral. Lineage: Bacteria; Pseudomonadati; Pseudomonadota; Betaproteobacteria.
AGUGGCGAACGGGUGAGUAAUAUAUCGGAACGCGCCCUAGAGUGGGGGAUAACGUAGCGAAAGUUACGCUAAUACCGCAUACGAUCUAAGGAUGAAAGUGGGGGAUCGCAAGACCUCAUGCUCCUGGAGCGGCCGAUAUCUGAUUAGCUAGUUGGUGGGGUAAAAGCCUACCAAGGCGACGAUCAGUAGCUGGUCUGAGAGGACGACCAGCCACACUGGGACUGAGACACGGCCCAGACUCCUACGGGAGGCAGCAGUGGGGAAUUUUGGACAAUGGGGGAAACCCUGAUCCAGCAAUGCCGCGUGUGUGAAGAAGGCCUUCGGGUUGUAAAGCACUUUUGUCAGGAACGAAACGGUGGGGGCUAAUACCUCCUGCUAAUGACGGUACCUGAAGAAUAAGCACCGGCUAACUACGUGCCAGCAGCCGCGGUAAUACGUAGGGUGCGAGCGUUAAUCGGAAUUACUGGGCGUAAAGCGUGCGCAGGCGGUUGUGCAAGACAGAUGUGAAAUCCCCGGGCUUAACCUGGGAAUUGCAUUUGUGACUGCACGGCUAGAGUGUGUCAGAGGGGGGUAGAAUUCCACGUGUAGCAGUGAAAUGCGUAGAUAUGUGGAGGAAUACCGACGGCGAAGGCAGCCCCCUGGGAUAACACUGACGCUCAUGCACGAAAGCGUGGGGAGCAAACAGGAUUAGAUACCCUGGUAGUCCACGCCCUAAACGAUGUCUACUAGUUGUCGGGUCUUAAUUGACUUGGUAACGCAGCUAACGCGUGAAGUAGACCGCCUGGGGAGUACGGUCGCAAGGUUAAAACUCAAAGGAAUUGACGG